GGAUUGUAGCUCAGUGGUAGAGCACUUGCCUUGCAUGUGUGAGGCACUGGGUUUGAUCCUCAGCACCA
This 68-nucleotide transfer RNA is filed under the name Marmota monax (woodchuck). Its description in RNAcentral is "tRNA.Ala". The stretch from base 5 to 65 matches the Rfam family "tRNA", at positions 6 to 65 of the family's 71-position model. From Rfam's summary of the family: Transfer RNA (tRNA) molecules are approximately 80 nucleotides in length. Their secondary structure includes four short double-helical elements and three loops (D, anti-codon, and T loops). Further hydrogen bonds mediate the characteristic L-shaped molecular structure. tRNAs have two regions of fundamental functional importance: the anti-codon, which is responsible for specific mRNA codon recognition, and the 3' end, to which the tRNAs corresponding amino acid is attached (by aminoacyl-tRNA synthetases). tRNAs cope with the degeneracy of the genetic code in two manners: having more than one tRNA (with a specific anti-codon) for a particular amino acid; and 'wobble' base-pairing, i.e. permitting non-standard base-pairing at the 3rd anti-codon position. The record is from RNAcentral. Lineage: Eukaryota; Metazoa; Chordata; Mammalia; Rodentia; Sciuridae.